GGUUAAGCGACUAAGCGUACACGGUGGAUGCCCUGGCAGUCAGAGGCGAUGAAGGACGUGCUAAUCUGCGAUAAGCGUCGGUAAGGUGAUAUGAACCGUUAUAACCGGCGAUUUCCGAAUGGGGAAACCCAGUGUGUUUCGACACACUAUCAUUAACUGAAUCCAUAGGUUAAUGAGGCGAACCGGGGGAACUGAAACAUCUAAGUACCCCGAGGAAAAGAAAUCAACCGAGAUUCCCCCAGUAGCGGCGAGCGAACGGGGAGGAGCCCAGAGCCUGAAUCAGUGUGUGUGUUAGUGGAAGCGUCUGGAAAGGCGCGCGAUACAGGGUGACAGCCCCGUACACAAAAAUGCACAUGCUGUGAGCUCGAUGAGUAGGGCGGGACACGUGGUAUCCUGUCUGAAUAUGGGGGGACCAUCCUCCAAGGCUAAAUACUCCUGACUGACCGAUAGUGAACCAGUACCGUGAGGGAAAGGCGAAAAGAACCCCGGCGAGGGGAGUGAAAAAGAACCUGAAACCGUGUACGUACAAGCAGUGGGAGCCUCUUUUAUGGGGUGACUGCGUACCUUUUGUAUAAUGGGUCAGCGACUUAUAUUCUGUAGCAAGGUUAACCGAAUAGGGGAGCCGAAGGGAAACCGAGUCUUAACUGGGCGUUAAGUUGCAGGGUAUAGACCCGAAACCCGGUGAUCUAGCCAUGGGCAGGUUGAAGGUUGGGUAACACUAACUGGAGGACCGAACCGACUAAUGUUGAAAAAUUAGCGGAUGACUUGUGGCUGGGGGUGAAAGGCCAAUCAAACCGGGAGAUAGCUGGUUCUCCCCGAAAGCUAUUUAGGUAGCGCCUCGUGAAUUCAUCUCCGGGGGUAGAGCACUGUUUCGGCAAGGGGGUCAUCCCGACUUACCAACCCGAUGCAAACUGCGAAUACCGGAGAAUGUUAUCACGGGAGACACACGGCGGGUGCUAACGUCCGUCGUGAAGAGGGAAACAACCCAGACCGCCAGCUAAGGUCCCAAAGUCAUGGUUAAGUGGGAAACGAUGUGGGAAGGCCCAGACAGCCAGGAUGUUGGCUUAGAAGCAGCCAUCAUUUAAAGAAAGCGUAAUAGCUCACUGGUCGAGUCGGCCUGCGCGGAAGAUGUAACGGGGCUAAACCAUGCACCGAAGCUGCGGCAGCGACGCUUAUGCGUUGUUGGGUAGGGGAGCGUUCUGUAAGCCUGCGAAGGUGUACUGUGAGGUAUGCUGGAGGUAUCAGAAGUGCGAAUGCUGACAUAAGUAACGAUAAAGCGGGUGAAAAGCCCGCUCGCCGGAAGACCAAGGGUUCCUGUCCAACGUUAAUCGGGGCAGGGUGAGUCGACCCCUAAGGCGAGGCCGAAAGGCGUAGUCGAUGGGAAACAGGUUAAUAUUCCUGUACUUGGUGUUACUGCGAAGGGGGGACGGAGAAGGCUAUGUUGGCCGGGCGACGGUUGUCCCGGUUUAAGCGUGUAGGCUGGUUUUCCAGGCAAAUCCGGAAAAUCAAGGCUGAGGCGUGAUGACGAGGCACUACGGUGCUGAAGCAACAAAUGCCCUGCUUCCAGGAAAAGCCUCUAAGCAUCAGGUAACAUCAAAUCGUACCCCAAACCGACACAGGUGGUCAGGUAGAGAAUACCAAGGCGCUUGAGAGAACUCGGGUGAAGGAACUAGGCAAAAUGGUGCCGUAACUUCGGGAGAAGGCACGCUGAUAUGUAGGUGAAGUCCCUCGCGGAUGGAGCUGAAAUCAGUCGAAGAUACCAGCUGGCUGCAACUGUUUAUUAAAAACACAGCACUGUGCAAACACGAAAGUGGACGUAUACGGUGUGACGCCUGCCCGGUGCCGGAAGGUUAAUUGAUGGGGUUAGCGCAAGCGAAGCUCUUGAUCGAAGCCCCGGUAAACGGCGGCCGUAACUAUAACGGUCCUAAGGUAGCGAAAUUCCUUGUCGGGUAAGUUCCGACCUGCACGAAUGGCGUAAUGAUGGCCAGGCUGUCUCCACCCGAGACUCAGUGAAAUUGAACUCGCUGUGAAGAUGCAGUGUACCCGCGGCAAGACGGAAAGACCCCGUGAACCUUUACUAUAGCUUGACACUGAACAUUGAGCCUUGAUGUGUAGGAUAGGUGGGAGGCUUUGAAGUGUGGACGCCAGUCUGCAUGGAGCCGACCUUGAAAUACCACCCUUUAAUGUUUGAUGUUCUAACGUUGACCCGUAAUCCGGGUUGCGGACAGUGUCUGGUGGGUAGUUUGACUGGGGCGGUCUCCUCCUAAAGAGUAACGGAGGAGCACGAAGGUUGGCUAAUCCUGGUCGGACAUCAGGAGGUUAGUGCAAUGGCAUAAGCCAGCUUGACUGCGAGCGUGACGGCGCGAGCAGGUGCGAAAGCAGGUCAUAGUGAUCCGGUGGUUCUGAAUGGAAGGGCCAUCGCUCAACGGAUAAAAGGUACUCCGGGGAUAACAGGCUGAUACCGCCCAAGAGUUCAUAUCGACGGCGGUGUUUGGCACCUCGAUGUCGGCUCAUCACAUCCUGGGGCUGAAGUAGGUCCCAAGGGUAUGGCUGUUCGCCAUUUAAAGUGGUACGCGAGCUGGGUUUAGAACGUCGUGAGACAGUUCGGUCCCUAUCUGCCGUGGGCGCUGGAGAACUGAGGGGGGCUGCUCCUAGUACGAGAGGACCGGAGUGGACGCAUCACUGGUGUUCGGGUUGUCAUGCCAAUGGCACUGCCCGGUAGCUAAAUGCGGAAGAGAUAAGUGCUGAAAGCAUCUAAGCACGAAACUUGCCCCGAGAUGAGUUCUCCCUGACUCCUUUAGAGUCCUGAAGGAACGUUGAAGACGACGACGUUGAUAGGCCGGGUGUGUAAGCGCAGCGAUGCGUUGAGCUAACCGGUACUAAUGAACCGUGAGGCUUAACCUUACAACGCCGAAGGUGUUUUG
RNAcentral lists this ribosomal RNA (2924 nucleotides) under Escherichia coli. RNAcentral's name for it is "23S Ribosomal RNA". It matches the Rfam family "Bacterial large subunit ribosomal RNA". The record is from RNAcentral. Lineage: Bacteria; Pseudomonadati; Pseudomonadota; Gammaproteobacteria; Enterobacterales; Enterobacteriaceae.